CUGGGCGUAAAAGCGAGCGUAGGUGGCUUGAUAAGUCAGAUGUGAAAUCCCCGGGCUUAACCUGGGAACUGCAUCUGAUACUGUUAAGCUAGAGUAGGUGAGAGGGAAGUAGAAUUCCAGGUGUAGCGGUGAAAUGCGUAGAGAUCUGGAGGAAUACCGAUGGCGAAGGCAGCUUCCUGGCAUCAUACUGACACUGAGGCUCGAAAGCGUGGGUAGCAAACAGGAUUAGAUACCCUGGUAGUCCACGCCGUAAACGAUGUCUACUAGUCGUUGGGUCCCUUGAGGACUUAGUGACGCAGCUAACGCAAUAAGUAGACCGCCUGGGGAGUACGGCCGCAAGGUUAAAACUCAAAUGAAUUGACGGGGGCCCGCACAAGCGGUGGAGCAUGUGGUUUAAUUCGAUGCAACGCGAAGAACCUUACCUGGUCUUGACAUACACAGAAUCUUGUAGAGAUACGAGAGUGCCUUCGGGAAUUGUGAUACAGGUGCUGCAUGGCUGUCGUCAGCUCGUGUCGUGAGAUGUUGGGUUAAGUCCCGCAACGAGCGCAACCCUUGUCCUUAGUUACCAGCGGGUUAAGCCGGGAACUCUAAGGAUACUGCCAGUGACAAACUGGAGGAAGGCGGGGACGACGUCAAGUCAUCAUGGCCCUUACGACCAGGGCUACACACGUGCUACAAUGGUAGGUACAGAGGGCAGCUACACAGCGAUGUGAUGCGAAUCUCAAAAAGCCUAUCGUAGUCCAGAUUGGAGUCUGCAACUCGACUCCAUGAAGUAGGAAUCGCUAGUAAUCGCGGAUCAGAAUGCCGCGGUGAAUACGUUCCCGGGCCUUGUACACACCGCCCGUCACACCAUGGGAGUUGAUUGCACCAGAAGUGGUUAGCCGAACCUUUUAGGACGGCGAUCAC
Molecule: ribosomal RNA, 906 nt
Filed under: Psychrobacter celer
Lineage: Bacteria; Pseudomonadati; Pseudomonadota; Gammaproteobacteria; Moraxellales; Moraxellaceae
Description: bacterial SSU rRNA
Rfam family: Bacterial small subunit ribosomal RNA
Source: RNAcentral